AACGAACGCUGGCGGCAUGCCUAACACAUGCAAGUCGAACGAGUCCUUCGGGUCUAGUGGCGCACGGGUGCGUAACGCGUGGGAACCUGCCCUUAGGUUCGGAAUAACUCCCCGAAAGGGGUGCUAAUACCGGAUAAUGUCUUCGGACCAAAGAUUUAUCGCCUGUGGAUGGGCCCGCGUUGGAUUAGCUAGUUGGUAGGGUAAAAGCCUACCAAGGCGACGAUCCAUAGCUGGUCUGAGAGGAUGAUCAGCCACACUGGGACUGAGACACGGCCCAGACUCCUACGGGAGGCAGCAGUGGGGAAUAUUGGACAAUGGGCGAAAGCCUGAUCCAGCAAUGCCGCGUGAGUGAUGAAGGCCUUAGGGUUGUAAAGCUCUUUUACCCGGGAUGAUAAUGACAGUACCGGGAGAAUAAGCUCCGGCUAACUCCGUG
Molecule: ribosomal RNA, 433 nt
Filed under: uncultured bacterium
Lineage: Bacteria
Description: partial 16S ribosomal RNA
Rfam family: Bacterial small subunit ribosomal RNA
Source: RNAcentral